This is a non-coding RNA of Podarcis lilfordi (Lilford's wall lizard), 88 nucleotides long. NCBI's taxonomy places the organism in Eukaryota, Metazoa, Chordata, Lepidosauria, Squamata, Lacertidae. The record is from the annotation of a GenBank genome assembly.
GGCCUAAAGAACUGUGGUUCAGUGGUAGUGCAUUUGCUUUGCAUGCAGACGGUCACAGGUUCAAUCCCUGGAAUCUCCAGGUAGGCCU